This 560-nucleotide ribosomal RNA is filed under the name uncultured bacterium. RNAcentral describes it as "bacterial SSU rRNA". It matches the Rfam family "Bacterial small subunit ribosomal RNA", at positions 28 to 585 of the family's 1533-position model. The record is from RNAcentral.
AUUGAACGCUGGCGGCAUGCCUUACACAUGCAAGUCGAACGGUAACAGGUCUUCGGAUGCUGACGAGUGGCGAACGGGUGAGUAAUACAUCGGAACGUGCCCGAGAGUGGGGGAUAACGGAGCGAAAGCUUUGCUAAUACCGCAUACGAUCUACGGAUGAAAGCAGGGGACCGCAAGGCCUUGCGCUCAUGGAGCGGCCGAUGGCAGAUUAGGUAGUUGGUGGGAUAAAAGCUUACCAAGCCGACGAUCUGUAGCUGGUCUGAGAGGACGACCAGCCACACUGGGACUGAGACACGGCCCAGACUCCUACGGGAGGCAGCAGUGGGGAAUUUUGGACAAUGGGCGCAAGCCUGAUCCAGCCAUGCCGCGUGCAGGAUGAAGGCCUUCGGGUUGUAAACUGCUUUUGUACGGAACGAAAAGACUCCUUCUAAUAAAGGGGGUCCAUGACGGUACCGUAAGAAUAAGCACCGGCUAACUACGUGCCAGCAGCCGCGGUAAUACGUAGGGUGCAAGCGUUAAUCGGAAUUACUGGGCGUAAAGCGUGCGCAGGCGGUUAUAUA